This 227-nucleotide ribosomal RNA is filed under the name uncultured bacterium. RNAcentral describes it as "partial 16S ribosomal RNA". It matches the Rfam family "Bacterial small subunit ribosomal RNA", at positions 103 to 334 of the family's 1533-position model. The record is from RNAcentral.
CGGGUGAGUAAUAUAUCGGAACGUGCCCUGUAGCGGGGGAUAACCUAUCGAAAGAUGGACUAAUACCGCAUACGCUCUACGGAGGAAAGCGGGGGUCGCAAGACCUCGCACUAUAGGAGCGGCCGAUAUCGGAUUAGCUAGUUGGCGGGGUAAAAGCCCACCAAGGCGACGAUCCGUAGCUGGUCUGAGAGGAUGAUCAGCCACACUGGAACUGAGACACGGUCCAG